Molecule: ribosomal RNA, 253 nt
Filed under: uncultured bacterium
Lineage: Bacteria
Description: partial 16S ribosomal RNA
Rfam family: Bacterial small subunit ribosomal RNA
Source: RNAcentral
GCAAGUCGAACGAGAUCCAAGGAGCUUGCUCCUGAAGAUCUAGUGGCGAACGGGUGCGUAACACGUGAGAAAUCUGUCCCGAACUUGGGAAUAACAGUUGGAAACGGCUGCUAAUACCGAAUACCUUCACGACGCUUCAUGGCGAUGUGAAGAAAGCUUUAUGCGGUUUGGGAGGAUCUCGCGGCCUAUCAGCUAGUUGGUGAGGUAACGGCUCACCAAGGCAUCGACGGGUAGCUGGUCUGAGAGGAUGAUC